GACGGAGGAGGCUAGCGUUGUUCGGAAUUACUGGGCGUAAAGCGCACGCAGGCGGCUGGACCAGUCGGAUGUGAAAGCCCGGGGCUCAACCCCGGAUGUGCAUCCGAUACUGUCCGGCUGGAGUCCGGGAGAGGAGAGCGGAAUUCCCAGUGUAGAGGUGAAAUUCGUAGAUAUUGGGAAGAACACCGGUGGCGAAGGCGGCUCUCUGGUCCGGAACUGACGCUCAAGUGCGAAAGCGUGGGGAGCAAACAGG
This 253-nucleotide ribosomal RNA is filed under the name uncultured bacterium. RNAcentral's name for it is "partial 16S ribosomal RNA". It matches the Rfam family "Bacterial small subunit ribosomal RNA", at positions 524 to 776 of the family's 1533-position model. The record is from RNAcentral.